This 464-nucleotide ribosomal RNA is filed under the name uncultured bacterium. RNAcentral describes it as "bacterial SSU rRNA". It matches the Rfam family "Bacterial small subunit ribosomal RNA", at positions 917 to 1382 of the family's 1533-position model. The record is from RNAcentral.
GGGCCCGCACAAGCGGUGGAGCAUGUGGUUUAAUUCGACGCAACGCGAAGAACCUUACCUGGGCUCGAACGGCUUCCCAACGGCUGUGGAAACAUGGCUAUCCCGCAAGGGAGUGGAGUCGAGGUGCUGCAUGGCUGUCGUCAGCUCGUGUCGUGAGAUGUUGGGUUAAGUCCCGCAACGAGCGCAACCCUUGUCCUGUGUUGCUAAUCGCAAGAUGCACUCUCAGGAGACCGCCAGCGAUAAGUUGGAGGAAGGUGGGGAUGACGUCAAGUCAUCAUGGCCUUUAUGUCCAGGGCUACACACGUGCUACAAUGGGCGGUACAAACCGACGCCAACCCGCGAGGGGGAGCAAAUCGGAAAAAACCGCUCUCAGUUCGGAUUGCAGGCUGCAACUCGCCUGCAUGAAGCUGGAAUCGCUAGUAAUGGUAUAUCAGAACGAUACCGUGAAUACGUUCCCGGGCCUU